RNA transcript from Macaca mulatta (Rhesus monkey), 1276 nucleotides. It is a transcript of the gene named ATP synthase peripheral stalk subunit b, mitochondrial pseudogene, with no coding region annotated. Lineage: Eukaryota; Metazoa; Chordata; Mammalia; Primates; Cercopithecidae. The record is from RefSeq and is a predicted model, not a curated record.
CGCGCCAAUGCACGCCAGCCUGGGAGACAGAGCAAGACUCUGUCUCAAAAAAAAGAAAAAAGUUUGGAUUAAGAAUACAGUAUUGGUGAGCAGCCAUCUUGCUCCUGCCCCUGACAGUCUCUGGUCGGGGUCACAGGGAUGCUUAGACUGCUGCCUGGACCUUUGCUGACCAUGCUGUCCCGGGUGGAACUUUCUGCCACUGCCACAGCGGCCCCCUCUCUGAAUAAUGCAGCCUUCCUAGGUCCAGCGGUAUUGCAGGCAACAAGGACCUUUCACGCAGGCAGCCACACCUUGGCCCUCUACCACCUUUCCCUGAAUGUGGAGGAAAAGUUCGUCUUGGACUGAUCCUUGAGGAAUUCUUCAAGUUUCUUUAUCUUAAAGCUGGUGUAACAGGACCUUAUGUGCUCAGAACUAGGCUUAUCCGGUAUCCUUUAUCCAAAGAAAUAUAUGUGAUUAUUGCAGAGACCUUCUCAACCAUAUUAGUAGUAGCGUUACUUGUCUAUGCAAUUAAAAAAUAUGGUGCCUCUGUUGCAGAAUUUGCUGAUAAACUCAAUGAGCAAAAACUUGCCCAACUAGAAGAGGCGAAGCAGGCUUCCAUCCAACAAAUCCAGGAUGCAAUUGAUUUGGAGAAGUCACAGCAGGCACUGGUUCAGAAGCUCCAUUACCUUUUCGAUGUGCAGAGGAAUAACACUGCUGUGGCUUUGGAAGUUACUUACCAGGAACGACUGUAUAAAGUAUAUAAGGAAGUAAAGAAUCGCCGGGACUAUCAUAUAUCUGUGCAGAACAUGAUGCGUCGAAAGGAACAACAGCACAUGAUAAAUUGGGUGGAGAAGCACGUGGUGCAGAGCAUCUCUGCACAGCAGAAAAAGGAGACAACUGCUAAGUGCAUUGCGGACCUCAAGCUUCUGGCAAAGAAGGCUCAAGCACAGCCAGUUAUGUAAAUGUAUCUAUCCCAAUUGAGACAGCUAGAAAUAGUUGACUGACUAAAUGGAAACUAGUCUAUGUGACAAAAUCUUUCUAUAUUGCUGUCUACUGAAGUUAUAAUUUACCUCUCUUAAAAAUGAAAAGUUUAUUUCAUAUAGUGAAAGCACAAAAUCUAUUGGCCAGUCAGAUGUUUCUCAUCCUUUUUACUCUGCAUUUGAGUUCCAUGACCACUUCUGAAUAAGCAGUUUGCCUUUAUUAAAACCUGCUGCCUGAUUAAAGAUUACCAGGUUAUAGUUUAAAUUUGCAAUUAAUUCUACCAUCUUGCAAUAAAGUGACAAUUGAAUGAAAAAAA